RNAcentral lists this ribosomal RNA (482 nucleotides) under uncultured bacterium. RNAcentral describes it as "bacterial SSU rRNA". It matches the Rfam family "Bacterial small subunit ribosomal RNA", at positions 29 to 506 of the family's 1533-position model. The record is from RNAcentral.
AUGAACGCUAGCGGCAGGCCUAAUACAUGCAAGUCGAACGGUAACAUGAGUAGCAAUACUUGAUGACGAGUGGCGCACGGGUGCGUAACGCGUAUGCAAUCUACCUUUAACUGGUGAAUAGCCCGAAGAAAUUCGGAUUAAUACACCAUAGUAUAUUUGAAUGGCAUCAUUUAAAUAUUAAAGUUCCAACGGUUAGAGAUGAGCAUGCGUGACAUUAGCUAGUUGGUGAGGUAAUGGCUCACCAAGGCUACGAUGUCUAGGGGAUCUGAGAGGAUUAACCCCCACACUGGUACUGAGACAGGGACCAGACUCCUACGGGAGGCAGCAGUAAGGAAUAUUGGACAAUGGUCGCAAGACUGAUCCAGCCAUGCCGCGUGCAGGAUGACAGCCCUAUGGGUCGUAAACUGCUUUUGUGCGAGAAAAAACCACUUUACGUGUAGAGUGCUGAUUGUAUCGUAAGAAUAAGGAUCGGCUAACUCCGU